AGAGCCAUCUUUAGGUUUGCUAAUGAGCUC
RNAcentral lists this non-coding RNA (30 nucleotides) under Rattus norvegicus (Norway rat). Lineage: Eukaryota; Metazoa; Chordata; Mammalia; Rodentia; Muridae. The record is from RNAcentral.